AAAAAACUGAGCUUGGCUAUAAGGCCUCACUCCCUUUUCUCUCCUUUUAAGGACUGUAGUUGUUUCUCAAAUACAGGAUCCAAAAGGUUGGUAAUUGGGGCCAGGAGUUUGAAACCAGCCUGAGCAAUAUAGUGAGACCCCAUCUCUAUAAAAAGUUUAAAAAUUAACUAGAUGUGAUGGUGCACACCUGUAAUUCCAGCUAUUCGGCAGGCGGAGGCAGGAGGACUGCUUCAGUCCGGGAGUUAGAGCUGUGAUGAACUCUGAGCAUACCACUGCACUCCAGCCUGGGUGACAGAGCAAGACUUUGUCUUGGGAAAAAGAAAAGAGAAAGAAAGGAAGGGAGAGUGAGAGAGAGAGGAGAAAGAAAGAGAGAAAAAGGAAGAAAAAGAAAGGAAGGAAGGAAGGAGAGAGAGAGAGAAAGAAAAAGAGAGAGAGAAGGAGGAAAGAAAGAAAAGAAAAGGAAAGGAAAGGAAAGAAAAGAGAAGGCAACCUGGAGAAAGGCAAAGACCAGCAUGUGUGAAGAUGCUCAUCAGUCAAAACUGAUAUUCUGAAUAUCAACUGAGGGAUAUUGAAUAGGUCACCCUGAGAGCCAGAAUCUGAGAAAACCCGGAAUAGUAGUAUUUCUCAUCUGCGACCCUUGAUGGAAUUGUAUUUUAAGUGAUUGCACUGGCUGCUUACAAUGCCAAGACGGAACAUACUUCAGAAUUAGCUUUUUCCUUUGAUUAUACUUUGUUGGGUUAAAAAAUAAAAAAGUGGACUUGCAAAUAUAGCAGUUGUGACUACAGCAUUUUAAGCAUUUGUAUUGAAGAUGUCCCAAAUUUCUAAAUGAAAGUUACUAAUAAAAAAUAUUCAUGUAUAUUUUCCUGUUCACUUUCCUCUCCUAACCUCAUUUUGUGUCUUUAGAACUCUAGCCUGAAACAUUGGUUCAGCUAGUCUGUCUU
This 941-nucleotide long non-coding RNA is filed under the name Homo sapiens (human). RNAcentral describes it as "HSALNT0114955". The record is from RNAcentral. Lineage: Eukaryota; Metazoa; Chordata; Mammalia; Primates; Hominidae.